This 253-nucleotide ribosomal RNA is filed under the name uncultured bacterium. RNAcentral describes it as "partial 16S ribosomal RNA". It matches the Rfam family "Bacterial small subunit ribosomal RNA", at positions 524 to 776 of the family's 1533-position model. The record is from RNAcentral.
UACGUAGGGGGCAAGCGUUGUCCGGAUUUAUUGGGCGUAAAGAGCGUGUAGGCGGCUAGGUAGGUCCGUUGUGAAAACUCGAGGCUCAACCUCGAGACGCCGAUGGAAACCAUCUGGCUAGAGUCCGGAAGAGGAGAGUGGAAUUCCUGGUGUAGCGGUGAAAUGCGUAGAUAUUGGGAGGAACACCAGUGGCGAAGGCGGCUCGCUGGACCGGUUCUGACGCUGAGGCGCGAAAGCGUGGGGAGCAAACAGG